RNAcentral lists this long non-coding RNA (5767 nucleotides) under Fragaria vesca (wild strawberry). RNAcentral describes it as "long non-coding RNA (FVES_LNC003087)". The record is from RNAcentral. Lineage: Eukaryota; Viridiplantae; Streptophyta; Magnoliopsida; Rosales; Rosaceae.
UUGCCUUCUUGGUUGCUCUGAAGCUCAAUUUGCUAGUGCUCGGUGAUUUGCCACCAUUCCCAUCAGCCUCCUCCAUAAGCGGAUGCCCUGAAAGUGUCUGAAGAACAUACUGAUGGAAGAUUGAUUCUUGAAUUCUAUCAAAGAAGGUGUUCACAUGGAAACUAGAUGCUAAGAUCUUAAGCAACAAUGUUUUUAACAUCCAUAAGAACGCCCCAAUGAGAACCGAAACAAUAGUCCAUGUAACAUAUUUUAAAAUCUUGGUGGAAGUCUCUGACCUCUCAACCCCACGGUUGAACAACAGCAGCCAAGUGAGAAGAACCAGAGACAGCCACAAGAAAACCUGAACACUCUUCUUCAUUCCAUGAACAAAAUACAACACCUUCUUCCGAAGCAAAAAGUUGCACUCAAUCAAAAAAACUAUCAAAUGCAUAACCCAAUUCGUAACCAACAUGCCACUGAAUAUCACCAUGACAAGCACACACCAUUUCCAAAUCUCCAAUCCCCAAACCAUAUAAUGCUCUAGUCUCUUCACAGUCAAGCUAGCUACUAAACAACCCAAAAUGCACAGGAAAACAACCAACUCAGUCAAGACUGUCUUUUUCAUUUUCCCAUGCUUAUCUCUACUCAACUUAACCUUCUUGUAAAUCUCUUCAUCCUCCUUAUCUUUGGUCCUGCCUGGGGACGGCGGUACAGUCCUAUUAGAAGUAAUGGAUAUGGCCCUAGCUCCUGAUAUGUUAUUUGGGGAAGCCCUACUGAAUGAAGCCCCCCUAUAAGGCGAACCAACCUGAUCUGAACUAUCUUCAUUCACAACAGGCGAUGGUUCACCAAACCUUGACUUGGGUUUACUAACUGACCUAUUAAAUGACUUUCUCCUAUUGAUGCUCUCAUUGCGGGCGGGGAUCCUAGGAGGCUUACCGGGGUUGGGACUAGCUCUUAAAACAUCCGGUGAAGGAAACGCACUCGAAACUGGCUUACUACUGGACUCAGUGGGGAGUCUUAAGUCCACUUUGCUUUGCUUGUUUGAAGGAGACCCUCUAGUUUCAUAAGUCCCAGCAUUUUGGACUUCCACUAUAACUUCACCUCCAUUUGCAGAUUGCUUCUCCGACAUGCUUAUCUCGCCGCCCUUUGAACCUUUCUCUGCGGCUUUCAUUAAACCCCUUAAACCUUAAUCCAACAAAAAAAGCUAGCAUUAAACCCCCAAAAGCAAAUCGACCCCAAGAAAAAAACACCCCUAAUAUGUAGAUUAACAAAGACUAGAAUCAUAAUCCAGUUUAAAAAUUAAAACUUUACAACACUUUCAGAAGAUACUUUCCCUUCUUUUUUUUUUUUUCUAAAACUCAGAUAUCAUUUUUUUCUUCUUUAAACUUCUGAGAUUUACGUAAUGGCUUUUUUAACAAAAGAACAAAACAGCUAAUUCUCCAAGUACUAUAACUGGAAACGAAGCUACUUUCGCGCCAAAACGAUCAAGUUAAAAAUCAACUAUUUCCAUAGCAGUAAGAACACUGUGUUUACUGUACUCACCUGGGUCACUAGAACCGGACAAGAUCCAAAGCUACCCACAAAUGAAGAGAUGGGAAGAUCAUAGUGCUGGAAUAGGAUUGAUUGCUGAUUCAGUACUGCAGAGAAACUAGUCAACUGGGCUUGUUGAACAAAAAAGUUUUCACCUUUAGGAACAAAGAACAGAGCUUUUGAAGUACUUCACCUAUAUAAAGGUUGUUGGAUAUAAAGAUUGUUGGGUUUUCAUCUGGGUAAACUAAAGUUUUGUGUUCAUCAUAUGAAGAAUUGGAUAGAAGAAGAUUAUGAUGAAAAUCUUGGAGAUGAUUAGAUCAGUGUGAAAAUGAGUAUUGGAGGAGGCUGGGUUGGCUGCCCCCAAAGAUAAUGAGAAGGCUGCAGAAGUGAGGGACAAAAUGAAACAGAGGAGAGGGUUCAAAUGCCUAUGAAGAGCGGUGCUACCACGUGGUUUCUGCAAAACUAGAAGAAAUAAUGGAAAUAAUGUUUUGAAGUGUGGAACAAAGGGAGUAAACCUACCGGGAGAACAAUAUUAAUUAAAGUGUGAAAGAGUGGGGAUGCCAGGUUAGGAACUGACCCUAUUUGAAGGAUUAUGCCGCAGAGAAGAGAACAAUCUUCAAAUUCUUAUCAAAGAUAUCAUGAUAAAAAUUUUGGGUAUUUUUGUUUGAUCAAUAUUAUUAUAUCACAACGUACGUGUUACAGCAUUUAAUAAAAAAUCUAUAGAAAAACACACACACAAAAAAAAAAUAAGAAUGAAAGUUUUUCGAAGAACGAAUUUUUAUUAGGUUGUCAUAAUUUUUAUCUGUGUUUUCAAUUGUUACUCUAACAUUUAGUUUGGUCGAUAAAUAAGAUGAUGGCUUUUCCUAUUUUGACUACAUGUCUACAACAUGCUAAUAUAAGUUUCAUGUACAAAUCGUUUCCAACUCUUAGGAAAAAAUUGAGAAGGAUUACAUUAUGAAUCUUCAUCUGGGACUUUAAAUAGUUAUUUGUCUGUAAUUAUAAGUGGCUUUACAGCUCAGGUGUAGUGCGGUGCAGGGUGUUCAAGGGUUCAGGCCAACCACCACGUAACAAGUACCAAUACCAACAGUACUCGUCGAGACUAAUAACUCAUUAUCAUUAGUUUAAGCUUUUCUUACAUAAAGCAAAUCAUAGGUCGAAUCUUAAUCUUAUCUCUGUAAAUUUGAUUUAUCCACGUUAAUUUAAUCAAUAAUCAUGACAUGCAUAGUGCAUCGUGGACCUGAAAAAUGCUCUAUACUUUUGUUUGUCUAUAGUGCUGUUUCAGGGUGUACUAUGGAUUUUGCAGGGAGCAAUAUCCAGCAAAAUUCUAUGGCCAUCCUUAGUGUCGUGGCAUUAGUGAUUUAGUAUCAGUACAGUAGUACCAUACUUGGCUAGUGCUUUCUCUUCAUUCUCUGGGGGCGAAAAAGAAGAAAACGAUGUGCAUUUCAGAAAGAAAGAAAGGAAGAGCACGUUUCACCGUUGAUGGCGAAUUGGACCCAGAACAUGUGGUCAUGCCAAUAAUGGUGUCUGAAAACCUCGACGCUUCUACAUUUGCCUCUCUCUAUUUCAUAAUCUCAGCUCCAUUUGCGAUGAUAUAAAGUAGGUGAGCAACGCUCUGGUUUGUAAUUCAAUCAUGGUAGACGACAGCAAGAAGACGCCAAGAAGGUGGAAACGACUUGUCAAAUCUUUCUUUGUGAUUUCCGGGGAAAACAAAAUAAAGAACGACUUGUAUAGAAGUCGCUUUGGUAUGAAAUAUGCAUGAUUGAUGUUUUAAUAAUGCAGGAUUUUAUUUUGGUCUGGAUGAUAAUGUAGCAUGAACUAUAGUUUUUAGGGGUGAAAGCAACAUGAACCCUACUACAACCACGACCAGUUUGUACUUGUGAGAUUGUCUUCCCUAAAGAAUCUAAAAUUAAGCAAGCAACUAAUCCAUGUUCAAACUUGAACUCAUCAUCUAAUUUGGACUAAUCGAUCCUUUAAGUUAUGACUUUAUAACGAUCGAUGCUGAGAUUAUAAACAAAUUAAUCCUAGUCUAAUUGCUCCUACAGCGCAGAAACCAAACUGAUUAUAUAUUCGAAAAACGAAGAGUGAAAUUGAAGGACAGAAUGGAAGAGAUGACUGUAUCAGAAAAUUAAGUAUGAACAACUGCCAUGGAUUUAGCACACCAUUGAGUUAUGACAUAAUCAAUGUGGCCAUAGCAAUGACUACUUCAUAGCAUACAAACCUCACCAAUUAGCCUAGCUUCAAUCUUUGAGAGGUUGAGUAAAGUAAAACUAAUUUUCUAACCCGAUAUCAGGUUGAGUACUUGGACCUCCUUUAGGAAGCAAAGUGUUAAAUGCAUAUCUUAUCUGUUGGAGUGUGAUUCAGUUUUGGGGAGGAUACAUCUGACAUCACUGUGAUGUUUAGCUCUUCAAGAAUCUUCAGCAAUUCGAAGUUUAGCUCAGCUCUACGCAAAUUAUUUUCCUCGAAAUCUCUAAAGUUCAAUUUGUGAUGACAAUAUACGGCCAUCUUUAACUUGUUAACAUCUUCAAUGUUAAUCACCGCCACAUUGUGUUUUCGAUGCCAAUAUUGAGGCUUCCCCUCGAUGUAUCUGGCCAAGCACAAGCACAUAUACACAAAAGAGUAAGAACAUGCACAAAAGAGCAGUGCCGAACAAUGCUCACUAGUUAGUUUUUUUUUUUUUUUUUUUUUUUUGGAAUAAAGGAGGUCAUACUUUAUUAUAAUAAAAGGAUUACACAGACGAUGCUCACUAGUUAAACGCAAUAGAAAAAACUUACUCCUUUAUUUUCUCUUUCAACUUGACUAUAUUCUCCACUGGUGUUAAAGCAAUUGAGAACUCCACAGCUUCUCUCAUAUCUGGACUUCUGGUGUAAUUGCUUAUUGAUGUUGCAGAUAACACGGAAUUUGGAUAGUACACCUUCUCGUUACUACUGAGUUUCAAGCAAACCGUAGUAAAGAUGCUCAUCUCUUCAACUAUCAUCUGUCAGGUGUAUACUAUGUGUUACAAAAAUUGAAAAGUAAACCCAAUGUGAUGAAAUAAUGUAUGAGAUGGAGUUGUACCGGAACGCCAUCAAAAACAAUGCAGUCUCCAACAUCAUAAGGAUGUGCCACAAAUAGAAACAUGAUAGAUUCAAAUACAUUCUUGCAAGUGUUUCCGAAAGCAAAAGCUGCUAAUACCAGCUGUGAUGAUAGGAACACAAAAAAGCUUGUGGUUGCAAUUUCCACAACUAGAAGGCUCACGACGAUGAUGAUAAUGAACACAAUGCUAGUCACAAGAUUGUCGACUUGCGCUGUAACUGCUUUGGUAUCAGACAAUGCAUGAGCUAAUGCUUUGCGAUCAGUGUAGACCUUCAGCUGGGGAAAAAGCCAUAGUACAAAGAAUUUCACACUCAUAAUUAUUUCAGAAAAUGAGAAACCUAGAAACUUCAAUAGCUCAAAUGCACAAUUGUAUUAUGUUAGUGACUGAAGUAGUACAUGAUCAAUCAAAAUGGUGCUUAAUUUUCAUUCAUUUACUAAUUAUUAAUACAUGUUUUGCUAAGUAGUGAACUACAAGAGACAUGAAUUAGGGUCUUACCACCCAGUCUGUUAGAGUUUUUCUGUCAACUUUUCCGGUCAUUGCUACGUCAAUCAGCGGCCAUACAAGGUCUACUUCUUCCUCCGUCAUGAACCUCAUGAGAUCCCACUCCUCAAUGUACCUACUCAGAUAUAAGAUAUGUAACACAAGAAUGGAAACGGAAAAAUAAUAAGCACUUAGAUUGAAACAAUUUUUAUUCUCACUUAGCACCAGGAGGAGCGACAUGAAGGAAAAUGUCGUCUGCAGCAGCAGUUGCUUCCAUCUCACUGGUAAUCUCUUUACCACUAUGUCCUUUUAGAGAGAUGGUCAGCCCUGAACUGGUUACUACAUUCACCAAUCCAUUCAAGGUCCAAGAAGAAACAUUUGAUCCUUGAAUCUUUGACUUGUCACUGACCUCCCUUUCUGCCCUGAUCUUUGUCCUGGAGACCCCUUCUGCCUGUGCCUUCUUAGUCUCUCUGUAACUCAGUUUGCUACUGCCUCGUGAUCGUUCAUAAUCCUCUUCCAUAAACGGAGUUCCUGAAAUUGCCUGAAGAAUAUAUUGAAAGAGUAUCGAUUCUUGAAUUCUAUCAAAAUAGGUGACCGCCUCAAAUUUAGAUGCUAAGAUCAGAACCAACAAAGUCUUCAACAACCACAAAAAUGCGCCAAUAACGCCUGCAACAAUACUUCGCGUGAUGUAAGCCACAAUCUUAC